RNAcentral lists this transfer RNA (73 nucleotides) under Capitella teleta. RNAcentral describes it as "tRNA-Val for anticodon AAC". It matches the Rfam family "tRNA". Rfam says of the family: Transfer RNA (tRNA) molecules are approximately 80 nucleotides in length. Their secondary structure includes four short double-helical elements and three loops (D, anti-codon, and T loops). Further hydrogen bonds mediate the characteristic L-shaped molecular structure. tRNAs have two regions of fundamental functional importance: the anti-codon, which is responsible for specific mRNA codon recognition, and the 3' end, to which the tRNAs corresponding amino acid is attached (by aminoacyl-tRNA synthetases). tRNAs cope with the degeneracy of the genetic code in two manners: having more than one tRNA (with a specific anti-codon) for a particular amino acid; and 'wobble' base-pairing, i.e. permitting non-standard base-pairing at the 3rd anti-codon position. Lineage: Eukaryota; Metazoa; Annelida; Polychaeta; Capitellidae. The record is from Rfam by way of RNAcentral.
GGCUCCGUGGUGUAGUGGUUAUCACAUCUGCCUAACACGCAGAAGGUCCCGGGUUCGAAACCCGGCGGAACCU